This is a non-coding RNA of Rattus norvegicus (Norway rat), 1400 nucleotides long. NCBI's taxonomy places the organism in Eukaryota, Metazoa, Chordata, Mammalia, Rodentia, Muridae. The record is from RefSeq and is a predicted model, not a curated record.
CACAGUUGUGUGAAAGUCUGUCCUCUUUCAUAACUCCUCUAUCCUUUGGUGUCGUGGUCUUCUUCUCACUUCCGGCCCUAGCUGGUACACCAUGAAAAGGAUCCAAUCAGCAGCGAUGGCCACUGAAGGGCUCUAGGCGGGAGAGGAGCUCGCUCAGCACUUUCCCCCAGCCUGUCUGCAAGCGUGGAGAAAGGCUUCUUCGCAGGGGCCAGUCAGGUCAAGAGCAGAUGAGAGGAGAUUUAUAGGCAAGAAGGCUGAUGCCAAGCAUAGCCAGGCUUCCGUUUUAUUUUUGGCCCAGGAGUUAGAUUAAUUCUCUAGCCUAAUAACAAUUGGGAGAGGCAGCACAGCGGAGACCUGGCCAACAGUAUGAGUGCUGACGUGAUGUUUACAACUUCUGCCCGGCAAGCCUCCAUGUUUUCUCAUCUGCUAGAUUGAGGCAGUGCAUGUAGCGGGGGACUCCAAAGCCUCCCUAAGAAAUGGCACCAGAUAGAACGGCCAAGGUCUCUGAGCAACUGUUUGCCGUAGGAGUCUAGUCACCCACUCUCCUUGAACUCUGCUGGUUGGAGAAAUAAAUUGUUACUCUGUCAAAUCAUGUAGACUUUGGGCUUUAAGCAGUAACAUAUUAUCUAAUGCGGAUAACAUAGAAUGUGAACCACGGGUAGUGGGAACCAGGAGAGAGAGAGAGAGAGAGAGAGAGAGAGAGAGAGAGAGAGAGAGAGAGAGAGAGAGAGAGAGAGAGAGAGAGAGAGAGAGAGGUUUGAAAGAAGAAUCCGGGAAGGAUGAAUUAAUGAACUAAGAAUGAGACGAAUUUUUGGUUUGAUAACGGUGAAGACUAGCACCAUUUCCGAGGAUAACGGAUGUUGAUAGGAAAGCAGAGUUUUGCAAGAGAAGGAAGAAUUCAGUCUUGAUGAAAAUCUGUAAGAUGAACAUCUCUUACCAACGUCUAUUUUCUCAUGAAGUCUACCCAUCACGGUUCCCAAGACUGACUCUCUCCCCACCUUCCAAAGACAGCUCAAAUUCCAGAAGAAGCAGGGAAAUCAGAGGAAAGAAGGAAAGAACUUUAUCCUGCUGAACAUGGAUUCACAACUACUCGAAUAAAAGAAAGGACACCAGAGCUGACAACAGCGGACGCUAAAGCUGCAACAGUGUGAUUUAUCAUGGGGCCUAGUUAUCAGAAGAGACAAAGCCAGCAUCGAUGGAGAGCGGUCACAGAAGACCCACCGUUGCCUCAGAGGCAGCAGGAGGCUGACGUCACAUAAACGGCCACAGAAAAGCAGUUAAAUGAUUUUCUGUGUGUUCUUCAGGGAGGCUGUAUCUAAUCUGAUGCAGUUGCUCCACGGGAGCCCUGCUAAUGACAUCUCCACCAAAUAUCAGCUCAAUAAAUUGCUUCCCUUCAUUAA